Molecule: ribosomal RNA, 254 nt
Filed under: uncultured bacterium
Lineage: Bacteria
Description: partial 16S ribosomal RNA
Rfam family: Bacterial small subunit ribosomal RNA
Source: RNAcentral
UACGUAGGGAGCAAGCGUUGUCCGGAAUCAUUGGGCGUAAAGCGCGCGUAGGUGGCCUCAUAAGUCCGCUGUGAAAGUCAAAAGGCUCAACCUUUGAAAGCCGGUGGAUACUGUGAGGCUAGAGUACGGAAGAGGCGAGUGGAAUUCCUGGUGUAGCGGUGGAAUGCGCAGAUAUCAGGAGGAACACCAAUAGCGAAGGCAGCUCGUUGGGACGUUACUGACACUGAGGCGCGAAAGCGUGGGGAGCGAACAGG